Transfer RNA from Enterococcus aquimarinus, 72 nucleotides. It matches the Rfam family "tRNA". Rfam says of the family: Transfer RNA (tRNA) molecules are approximately 80 nucleotides in length. Their secondary structure includes four short double-helical elements and three loops (D, anti-codon, and T loops). Further hydrogen bonds mediate the characteristic L-shaped molecular structure. tRNAs have two regions of fundamental functional importance: the anti-codon, which is responsible for specific mRNA codon recognition, and the 3' end, to which the tRNAs corresponding amino acid is attached (by aminoacyl-tRNA synthetases). tRNAs cope with the degeneracy of the genetic code in two manners: having more than one tRNA (with a specific anti-codon) for a particular amino acid; and 'wobble' base-pairing, i.e. permitting non-standard base-pairing at the 3rd anti-codon position. NCBI's taxonomy places the organism in Bacteria, Bacillati, Bacillota, Bacilli, Lactobacillales, Enterococcaceae. The record is from Rfam.
GCGCCCUUAGUGUAGUGGAUAUCAUACAAGAUUCCGGUUCUUGUGACGGGGGUUCGACUCCCUCAGGGCGCA